UUAAGACGUUGGAGAAGUGGCCAACCUUCAGAAUCCUGGGAGGCUCAUAAGGCAGCAAUCCAAGCACUCAUAAAGCUGCCUUCAGGCGAGCUUGUUACAGGUUCAACUGAUACAACUUUAAAACUUUGGAGAGGAAGCAAAUGUACACAUACUUUUGUUGGGCAUACAGAUCAAAUAUAGGCUGAUGCACUUGUUCUGAGGGGGAUCAGUUGCACAUUUGAGGA
Molecule: long non-coding RNA, 224 nt
Organism: Quercus lobata
Lineage: Eukaryota; Viridiplantae; Streptophyta; Magnoliopsida; Fagales; Fagaceae
Exons: 3
Source: RefSeq, a predicted model, not a curated record